Molecule: ribosomal RNA, 379 nt
Filed under: uncultured eukaryote
Lineage: Eukaryota
Description: partial 18S ribosomal RNA
Rfam family: Eukaryotic small subunit ribosomal RNA
Source: RNAcentral
CAAUAGCGUAUAUUAAAGUUGUUGCAGUUAAAAGCUCGUAGUUGGAUUUGUGGCGUACGGUGUGUUCCGGGCACUUGUUGUCUGAGUAACCUGCUGUUGCCAUCCUUGGGUGGAACCUGUGUGGCAUUAGGUUGUCGUGCAGGGGAUGCCCAUCAUUUACUGUGAAAAAAUUAGAGUGUUCAAAGCAGGCUUAUGCCGUUGAAUAUAUUAGCAUGGAAUAAUGAGAUAGGACUUUUUUGCUAUUUUGUUGGUUUGCGCAAGGAGGUAAUGAUUAAUAGGGACAGUUGGGGGUAUUCGUAUUCCAUUGUCAGAGGUGAAAUUCUUGGAUUUUUGGAAGACGAACUACUGCGAAAGCAUUUACCAAGGAUGUUUUCAUUAA